CAGGGAGCCAAGCAAGACGAACAGUGAAGCCACAGCAACAGCUGCAACAGAGUGACACAAAGGGCCAUGAAACAACAGGACAUACGUAUGAGCGGGUGUUACAGCAGCCUGAGUCUCGAGAGAGGAGUCAAGGCCUGGUGUCAGAGGAGAGCAACUUACAUUACGCAGAUAUUCAAGUGUGCAGCCGUCAAUCAGCCCAUGAGCUAAAACACCUGCAUUUAGAAAAUGCUACAGAGUAUGCGACCCUUUGCUUCCCCCAGGCCAUACCUCACUAUGACA
Molecule: long non-coding RNA, 279 nt
Organism: Galeopterus variegatus (Sunda flying lemur)
Lineage: Eukaryota; Metazoa; Chordata; Mammalia; Dermoptera; Cynocephalidae
Exons: 2
Source: RefSeq, a predicted model, not a curated record